GUGGCUGUAGCUCAGCUGGCAGAGCGCCACCUUGCCAAGGUGGAGGUCGCCGGUUCGAUCCCGGUCAGCCACU
RNAcentral lists this transfer RNA (73 nucleotides) under Arthrobacter sp. zg-Y1110. RNAcentral's name for it is "tRNA-Gly". It matches the Rfam family "tRNA". From Rfam's summary of the family: Transfer RNA (tRNA) molecules are approximately 80 nucleotides in length. Their secondary structure includes four short double-helical elements and three loops (D, anti-codon, and T loops). The record is from RNAcentral. Lineage: Bacteria; Bacillati; Actinomycetota; Actinomycetes; Micrococcales; Micrococcaceae.